Cyanistes caeruleus (blue tit) is the source of this 507-nucleotide non-coding RNA. NCBI's taxonomy places the organism in Eukaryota, Metazoa, Chordata, Aves, Passeriformes, Paridae. The record is from RefSeq and is a predicted model, not a curated record.
CGCAACAGCGGCGUUGUCAGGCUCCCACAACAGCCGCUGCCUGCUACUUACAGGCACGGCGCUACCUUCUCAGCUGGAAAAAGUACGUUUCUACAUAUCACAAGCAUGACCUCCAGGCCUCAGGAGUUGUCUGACAGUGACUCAGUCAUAAAACAUUCUCUAGAAGAGCUUCAGUAUCAUUACAUUCCUAUCUCUGUGUACCAGUUUCUGUCAAGACAAGCUAGCCCAUCUCUUCCUAUCCAACAUACAAGUGGCACUAGACUUCCCCUGAGGAGCUCUGCUGUCAGGCAGGCAGGUGUGUGCUCUCAGCUGAAGUCCAUGGAGAAUCUCCUGGAACAAAACCUCAUCACUUAGUUUGUUACUUUUUCCACAGCCAUUUCUCAGCAGUGCUUGAAUCCUAACAACGUUCCUGGGGAGUUUACAGUCCCUUUGGUAACAGGUCCACCAACGUCAAAAAAGACUCUAAUGGCCUACAAUUUCUUGCUUCCAAAAGUUACCAAACAAAUU